This 72-nucleotide transfer RNA is filed under the name Ornithorhynchus anatinus (platypus). It matches the Rfam family "tRNA". Rfam says of the family: Transfer RNA (tRNA) molecules are approximately 80 nucleotides in length. Their secondary structure includes four short double-helical elements and three loops (D, anti-codon, and T loops). Lineage: Eukaryota; Metazoa; Chordata; Mammalia; Monotremata; Ornithorhynchidae. The record is from Rfam by way of RNAcentral.
AGCAGCGUGGCUCAGUGGAAAGAGCACGGGCUUGGGAGUCAGAGGUCAUGGGUUCGAACCCCGGCUCUGCCG